This 497-nucleotide ribosomal RNA is filed under the name uncultured bacterium. Its description in RNAcentral is "partial 16S ribosomal RNA". It matches the Rfam family "Bacterial small subunit ribosomal RNA", at positions 28 to 507 of the family's 1533-position model. The record is from RNAcentral.
GAUGAACGCUGGCGGCGUGCCUAAUACAUGCAAGUCGAGCGAACGGACGAGAAGCUUGCUUCUCUGAUGUUAGCGGCGGACGGGUGAGUAACACGUGGAUAACCUACCUAUAAGACUGGGAUAACUUCGGGAAACCGGAGCUAAUACCGGAUGAUAUUUUGAACCGCAUGGUUCAAAAGUGAAAGACGGUCUUGCUGUCACUUAUUGAUGGAUCCGCGCUGCAUUAGCUAGUUGGUAAGGUAACGGCUUACCAAGGCAACGAUGCAUAGCCGACCUGAGAGGGUGAUCGGCCACACUGGAACUGAGACACGGUCCAGACUCCUACGGGAGGCAGCAGUAGGGAAUCUUCCGCAAUGGGCGAAAGCCUGACGGAGCAACGCCGCGUGAGUGAUGAAGGUCUUCGGAUCGUAAAACUCUGUUAUUAGGGAAGAACAUAUGUGUAAGUAACUGUGCACAUCUUGACGGUACCUAAUCAGAAAGCCACGGCUAACUACGUG